Long non-coding RNA from Siniperca chuatsi (mandarin fish), 6207 nucleotides. RefSeq lists it as uncharacterized. The record is from RefSeq and is a predicted model, not a curated record. NCBI's taxonomy places the organism in Eukaryota, Metazoa, Chordata, Actinopteri, Centrarchiformes, Sinipercidae. The transcript has 3 exons.
AUCACCCGGACCUGCUCAGCCCUUCAGCCCUGCCUCGUGGGUGCCCACCUGACCUGCUCUGCUCUUAUGUCCAGCCCUCGGGCCAGGAGCAGGGUAUGGUUGCGGCCCGACCAGAGCAAGACGUAGCUUCUGCGAUCCAGCAGAGGCAGGAGUGAGCUGCAGCCCAUAGAGUUCAGGGAGCUGCCGCAGCACAGGGAGUUCAGGGAGAGGUUGUGGCACCUGCUCCCACUAACUGUGCUCGUUGUUGUUGGAUAUGAGACCUAAUAUGGAUGGUAACUGAACUGUGAUGGGACGUGAGACUGUUUGUGUAAAGGGAGCAGAGUCGGGGGGCAGGACACAGCCCUGGGGGGCUCCUGUGCUGAGAUGAAAGGUUCGUUCACCUUAACCCACUGUCUCCAGAUCCAGUGGAGCAUGAAGGAGCUGAUGCUCAGCUGUGUUUGUGUUCCCUAUAAGUCUGUAAAAGAACACAUUUAGUUCGGUUUCAUUCAGUUUAAAGCACUUUAGUUGGAACUUAAACAAAACAGAUUCUUUACAUCAUUUAAACAUCAUUUAAGUUCCAACAUUUAGACCAAAACUCAUUUUAAUUCAACCUCUUGAAGCCAAGAGAGACACAUCAUGUUAAACAGCUGAUCUGUGUGAGCACCACACACACACAGUUGUGUUUCCGUCACCUUCGGGGACAUUACAUUCACUUACAUUCAUUACCUGGAGACUUACCCUAACCUUACACCAAGUCUUCAGCCUAAAGUUUGAUGAUUUCAUUAUAGGGACGGACAUUUUGUCCCCACAAUGUGACUGUGUAAACAAAUUUCUGUCCCCACAACAUUAGUAAUACCUGCCCACACACACACAGAUAAACUCACCUGAUUUCCUGUAAAAGGAGAGGGGCGGAGCAACACUGACCCGGUGAUCCAGGUACGUAAGAACAGGGCGGGAACCUGAAGCUGAAAGUGUUCAGUUAGUUCAGACUCCAUUUUGAGUCGACAGAGCAGAAGGAGGAAACUGAAGGCUGAGGCAUGGUGAGUGUUAAUCCAACAUCUUUAUUAUCUUACCGUCAAAGUCUGUGAGUCGGUUUCCUCCCUGUGGACUGUACAGGAAAGAAAUGUGAGAAUGACCAGUUUGAUUAAUCUGUGGACACAAAGUCCUUAUGUAUACUGCGCGUGCUGCUUCCUGUUGUCAGUCUUGUUUGUGACUCUUGAAUAAACUUGUUCCUCCUGAUUCUCGUUAGAGAAGUUAAAGAAAAGUGACCAGGUGGAGCUGAUUUAUUAAACUGUGUGUUAUUAUACUGUAUACUGUGUGUGUGUGUGUGUGUGUGUGUACCGUGGCAUUGCAGGGACGGUUGUCAUGGUCACCCAGUCCUUUGUAAGGUAGCAGGUAUUCAUCAGCGUCGACCACAUCCUCCAUGUCAUCCGAGCUCAGCAGGCGAGUAAAACCUGCUGUCUGCAGGGCUGGGGAGGUCACCCUGAGACAGGAGUCAGAGCGCUUCAUUCACUAACAGCCACGAGGGCUACAGCUCACUGAAAGUGACCCAGCUGGGGUCAAUAUAGCACCGACGACCACACUGGGUUCUCUCUUCCCAGUACCGGUGGGUCGUGUUUUGAAAUAUUACUGUUCAUCACUAAAAUCUGGUUAUUUUGAGCAACAAGCUCAAGUUUGACCUGAAAACAGACAGACUUUACAUGUAUUCUUAACAAUUAAUGACAAACAGUGACAUGUAAGCAAAGGCGGAGGUUUGGUUUUAACUUUGGCAUGUCUGGUCGGAUGACUAAUAUGUGUGCACAUGUAUGUUUAAAGUUGCUCUGCUGAGUUUCGGUGUGCAGGAAGUUCUUUCUUCAUUUUAUGAUUCGAAGUACUUGAUUUAAAAACAGCGGUCCUUUCAGACAGACAGACAGAGAGACAGGUAGACAGACAGACAGACACUUACAGGCAUGUGGAGUCUCAGCGGCCUCCUCUUCCUCCUGCAGCUCCUCUCCUCCUCCUCCUCCUCCUCCUCCUCUCUCCUCUACGCAGUGCUUCUCAUCUCCAGUCAGAAAGUCAGGACACCACACUGCCUCUGCAAGUCUGAGACUGUUCUGCAGUACUGAGACUGUUCUGAGACUGUUCUGCAGGUCUGAGACUGUUCUGAGACUGUUCUGAGACCGUUCUGCAGUUCUGAGACUUUUCUGCAGUUCUGAGACUGUUCAGAGACUGUUCUGCAGUUCUGAGACUGAUCUGCAGUACUGAGACUGUUCAGAGACUGUUCUGCAGUUCUGAGCCUGUACUAACACUGUUCUACAGUACUGAGACUGUUCUGCAGUACUGAGACUGUUCUGCAGUACUGAGACUGUUCUGAGGCUGUUCUUCAGUUGUAAGACUGUUCUGAGGCUGUCCUGCAGUUCUGAGACUGUUCUGCAGUUCUGAACCUGUACUAACACUGUUCUACAGUACUGAGACUGUUCUGCAGUUCUGAGACUAUUCUGCAGUUCUGAGCCUGUUCUGAGACUGUUCUGCAGUUCUGAGCCUGUUCUGAGACUGUUCUGCAGUACUGAGCCUGUUCUGAGACUGUUCUUCAGUUCUAAGACUGUUCUGAGACUGUUCUGCAGUUCUGAGACUGUUCUGCAGUUCUGAGCCUGUUCUAACACUGUUCUGCAGUACUGUUCUCCGUGACGGAGCGCAGCGGGUUACGCACGACGCAGCUGAGACUGUUCUGCAGUUCUGAGCCUGUUCUGAGACUGUUCUGCAGUACUGAGACUGUUCUGAGACUGUUCUGCAGGUCUGAGACUGUUCUGAGACUGUUCUGAGACCGUUCUGCAGUUCAGAGACUGUUCUGCAGUUCUGAGACUGUUCUGCAGUACUGAGACUGGUCAGAGACUGUUCUGCAGUUCUGAGACUGUUCUGCAGUACUGAGCGUGUUCUGAGACUGUUCUGCAGUACUGAGACUGUUCUGCAGUACUGAGACUGUUCUGAGGCUGUUCUUCAGUUCUAAGACUGUUCUGAGGCUGGUCUGCAGUUCUGAGCCUGUACUAACACUGUUCUACAGUACUGAGACUGUUCUGCAGUUCUGAGACUAUUCUGCAGUUCUGAGCCUGUUCUGAGACUGUUCUGCAGUACUGAGACUGUUCUGAGACUGUUCUGCAGUACUGAGCCUGUUCUGAGACUUUUCUGCAGUUCUGAGACUGUUCUGCAGUUCUGAGACUUUUCUGCAGUACUGAGCGUGUUCUGAGACUGUUCUGCAGUACUGAGACUGUUCUGCAGUACUGAGACUGUUCUGAGGCUGUUCUUCAGUUCUAAGACUGUUCUGAGGCUGUUCUGCAGUUCUGAGACUGUUCUGCAGUUCUGAGACUAUUCUGCAGUUCUGAGCCUGUUCUGAGACUGUUCUGCAGUUCUGAGCCUGUUCUGAGACUGUUCUUCAGUACUGAGCCUGUUCUGAGACUGUUCUUCAGUUCUAAGACUGUUCUGAGACUGUUCUGCAGUUCUGAGACUGUUCUGCAGUUCUGAGCCUGUUCUGAGACUGUUCUGCAGUUCUGAGCCUGUUCUAACACUGUUCUGCAGUACUGUUCUCCGUGACGGAGCGCAGCGGGUUACGCACGACGCAGCGCACGCACUGGUUUGGAGGAGAGAGGAUACUGUUAUUAUGACUACAGCUAAUGUCACCGCUGCUGCUGCUGAUGGCGCUGUGCUGGGUGGAGUCAGGUCACUUUGUGAAACUACCCGAAGUGUAACUUUUACAGCUCGUUAAGUGUGUGUGUGUGUGUGUGUGUGUGUGUGUGUGUGUGUGUGUGUGUGUGUGUGUGCAACAAAGAUGUCUAAUUCUGGACUCACUGCAUCUUUGAUAUAUUUUUCAGUGACAGGGCGGCACAGAAUAACCCAGUAACUCUGAUGUCAUGGCACCUGGCAGAAACAUGCCGGUGUCACUUCGGAUGCAUUCAGAUUGUAGAAACUUCACACAUCCUGACGUUAACAACUCAUCUAACUUGUCAUGUGAUAGUUUUCCGUCUGACUGAGGAAGAUUCAAGUGUUGCACAUUUCCAGCCGAGGUGUGUUUUUGGUCCUUCGGGAAAAUGAGAACAUGAAGGAUGUCUGAUAUGUGAUUCAACAACAGAUGGAGAGCAGGGUUGACUUUGUUGGUUUGGACAGCAGGUGGCGCUGCUGCAUCAACAAUCAGCGGAGACUCAAACACACAAACGUACCUUUAUCUCCUCUACAUUUCCAGCAGGCUGCAAACACUUUUAAACCCAGUCUAUAAAACCUACUGGCUGCUGCUACCUAUGGCAGCAGCCAUCCCCUGCUCCGGUUGGGCCACAACCUCCUGAACUCUCUGAGCUGCAGCAACCUCCCAAACUCUCUGAGCUGCAGCAACCUCCCGAACUCUCUGAGCUGCAGCAACCUCCCGAACUCUCUGAGCUGCAGCAACCUCCCGAACUCUCUGAGCUGCAGCAACCUCCCGAACUCUCUGAGCUGCAGCAACCUCCCGAACUCUCUGAGCUGCAGCAACCUCCCGAACUCUCUGAGCUGCAGCAACCUCCCGAACUCUCUGAGCUGCAGCAACCUCCCGAACUCUCUGAGCUGCAGCAACCUCCCAAACUCUCUGAGCUGCAGCAACCUCCUGAACUCUCUGAGCUGCACCAACUUCCUGAACUCUCUGAGCUGCAGCAACCUCCUGAUCCACCUGUGCGGCAGCCUCCUGGUUCCCUGGCAGCACUGGUUCCACCGGCUUCUCUGCCAGUCUCUCCGUCGCAAGCCUCCUGUCCUGCUGCCCUGUCACCAGACCCUGGUCUUCAUCUCCAGCCAUGCCGCCGACCUCCAGAAGGCUUCCGCCUUCGCUGCUGGCCUCCAGUGGCCUUCUGUCUACACCUCAGCAUCCGGUUCGACCCCCGGAGGGUCCCCACCUUCGUCCCCGACCUCCUGAGUUGCUCCGUACGUCUGAUCAUCACCCGGACCUGCUCAGCCCUUCAGCCCUGCCUCGUGGGUGCCCACCUGACCUGCUCUGCUCUUAUGUCCAGCCCUCGGGCCAGGAGCAGGGUAUGGUUGCGGCCCGACCGGAGCAAGACGUAGCUUCUGCGAUCCAGCAGAGGCAGGAGUGAGCUGCAGCCCAUAGAGUUCAGGGAGCUGCCGCAGCACAGGGAGUUCAGGGAGAGGUUGUGGCACCUGCUCCCUCUAACUGUGCUCGUUGUUGUUGGAUAUGAGACCUAAUAUGGAUGGUAACUGAACUGUGAUGGGACGUGAGACUGUUUGUGUAAAGGGAGCAGAGUCGGGGGGCAGGACACAGCCCUGGGGGGCUCCUGUGCUGAGAUGAAAGGUCGUUCACCUUAACCCACUGUCUCCAGAUCCAGUGGAGCAUGAAGGAGCUGAUGCUCAGCUGUGUUUGUGUUCCCUAUAAGUCUGUAAAAGAACACAUUUAGUUCGGUUUCAUUCAGUUUAAAGCACUUUAGUUGGAACUUAAACAAAACAGAUUCUUUACAUCAUUUAAACAUCAUUUAAGUUCCAACAUUUAGACCAAAACUCAUUUUAAUUCAACCUGUUGAAGCCAAGAGAGACACAUCAUGUUAAACAGCUGAUCUGUGUGAGCACCACACACACACACACACACACAGUUGUGUUUCCGUCACUUUCGGGGACAUUACAUUCACUUACAUUCAUUACCUGGAGACUUACCCUAACCUUACACCAAGUCUUCAGCCUAAAGUUUGAUGAUUUCAUUAUAGGGACGGACAUUUUGUCCCCACAAUGUGACUGUGUAAACAAAUUUCUGUCCCCACAACAUUAGUAAUACCUGCCCACACACACACAGAUAAACUCACCUGAUUUCCUGUAAAAGGAGAGGGGCGGAGCAACACUGACCCGGUGAUCCAGGUACGUAAGAACAGGGCGGGAACCUGAAGCUGAAAGUGUUCAGUUAGUUCAGACUCCAUUUUGAGUCGACAGAGCAGAAGGAGGAAACUGAAGGCUGAGGCAUGGUGAGUGUUAAUCCAACAUCUUUAUUAUCUUACCGUCAAAGUCUGUGAGUCGGUUUCCUCCCUGUGGACUGUAGAGGAAAGAAAUGUGAGAAUGACCAGUUUGAUUAAUCUGUGGACACAAAGUCCUUAUGUAUACUGCGCGUGCUGCUUCCUGUUGUCAGUCUUGUUUGUGACUCUUGAAUAAACUUGUUCCUCCUGAUUCUCGUGAGAGAAGUUAAAGAAAAGUGACCAGGUGGAGCUGAUUUAUUAAACUGUGUGUUAUUAUACUGUA